AUUGAACGCUGGCGGCAGGCCUAACACAUGCAAGUCGAGCGGAUGAAGGGAGCUUGCUCCUGGAUUCAGCGGCGGACGGGUGAGUAAUGCCUAGGAAUCUGCCUGGUAGUGGGGGAUAACGUCCGGAAACGGGCGCUAAUACCGCAUACGUCCUGAGGGAGAAAGUGGGGGAUCUUCAGACCUCACGCUAUCAGAUGAGCCUAGGUCGGAUUAGCUAGUCGGUGGGGUAAAGGCCUACCAAGGCGACGAUCCGUAACUGGUCUGAGAGGAUGAUCAGUCACACUGGAACUGAGACACGGUCCAGACUCCUACGGGAGGCAGCAGUGGGGAAUAUUGGACAAUGGGCGAAAGCCUGAUCCAGCCAUGCCGCGUGUGUGAAGAAGGUCUUCGGAUUGUAAAGCACUUUAAGUUGGGAGGAAGGGCAGUAAGUUAAUACCUUGCUGUUUUGACGUUACCAACAGAAUAAGCACCGGCUAACUUCGUG
Molecule: ribosomal RNA, 484 nt
Filed under: uncultured bacterium
Lineage: Bacteria
Description: partial 16S ribosomal RNA
Rfam family: Bacterial small subunit ribosomal RNA
Source: RNAcentral